GCAUAUCAAUAAGCGGAGGAAAAGCCCCGCCCGGGUUUUCCUCGUAGCACGGCGAGUGAAGAGGGAAGAGCCCAAGAUUGAAAGCUGGCGUCUUCGGCGUCCGCAUUGUAAUCUCAAGAAGUGUUUUCCGCUUCGGACCAUGCCUAAGUCCCUUGGAAAAGGGCAUCAUAGAGGGUGAUAAUCCCGUUCAUGGCAUGGAGCGCCCGAAGCUUUGUGAUACGCUUUCUAAGAGUCGAGUUGUUUGGGAAUGCAGCUCAAAAUGGGUGGUAAAUGCCAUCUAAGGCUAAAUAUUGGGGAGAGACCGAUAGCGAACAAGUACAGUGAUGGAAAGAUGAAAAGAACUUUGAAAAGAGAGUUAAACAGUACGUGAAAUUGCCAAAAGGGAAGGGUAGGAGGUCACAGAUGCGUCUUGGAAUUCAGCCUUGCUUCUGCUUGGUGUUUUUUCCAUUUUGCAGGCCAACGUCGGUUUUGGGCACUGGAGAAGGGUGGAAGGAACGUGGCACCUCUCGGGGUGUGUUAUAGCCUUCUACUGGAUACAGCGACCGAGACCGAGGACAGCAGCGUACUCGCAAGAGCGGGCCUUCGGGCACCUUUACGCUUAGGGCGUUGGCAUAAUGGCCCUCUACCACCCGUCUUGAAACACGGACC
This 648-nucleotide ribosomal RNA is filed under the name Sporophora toruliformis (nom. inval.). RNAcentral's name for it is "'Sporophora toruliformis' partial large subunit ribosomal RNA". It matches the Rfam family "Eukaryotic large subunit ribosomal RNA", at positions 38 to 667 of the family's 3401-position model. The record is from RNAcentral. Lineage: Eukaryota; Fungi; Ascomycota.